CAGCCGCCGCGGGAAUACGCAGGGUGCGAGCGUUAAUCGGAAUUACUGGGCGUAAAGCGUGCGCAGGCGGUUGUGUAAGACAGGUGUGAAAUCCCCGGGCUUAACCUGGGAACUGCGCUUGUGACUGCACAGCUAGAGUAUGGCAGAGGGGGGUGGAAUUCCACGUGUAGCAGUGAAAUGCGUAGAGAUGUGGAGGAACACCGAUGGCGAAGGCAGCCCCCUGGGCCAAUACUGACGCUCAUGCACGAAAGCGUGGGGAGCAAACAGGAUUAGAUACCCGUGUAGUCCCUGUCUCUUAUAC
RNAcentral lists this ribosomal RNA (301 nucleotides) under uncultured bacterium. RNAcentral describes it as "partial 16S ribosomal RNA". It matches the Rfam family "Bacterial small subunit ribosomal RNA", at positions 509 to 807 of the family's 1533-position model. The record is from RNAcentral.